RNAcentral lists this ribosomal RNA (550 nucleotides) under uncultured bacterium. Its description in RNAcentral is "bacterial SSU rRNA". It matches the Rfam family "Bacterial small subunit ribosomal RNA", at positions 355 to 896 of the family's 1533-position model. The record is from RNAcentral.
UAGGGAAUCUUCGGCAAUGGACGGAAGUCUGACCGAGCAACGCCGCGUGAGUGAAGAAGGUUUUCGGAUCGUAAAGCUCUGUUGUAAGAGAAGAACGGGUGUGAGAGUGGAAAGUUCACACUGUGACGGUAUCUUACCAGAAAGGGACGGCUAACUACGUGCCAGCAGCCGCGGUAAUACGUAGGUCCCGAGCGUUGUCCGGAUUUAUUGGGCGUAAAGCGAGCGCAGGCGGUUAGAUAAGUCUGAAGUUAAAGGCUGUGGCUUAACCAUAGUACGCUUUGGAAACUGUUUAACUUGAGUGCAAGAGGGGAGAGUGGAAUUCCAUGUGUAGCGGUGAAAUGCGUAGAUAUAUGGAGGAACACCGGUGGCGAAAGCGGCUCUCUGGCUUGUAACCGACGCUGAGGCUCGAAAGCGUGGGGAGCAAACAGGAUUAGAUACCCUGGUAGUCCACGCCGUAAACGAUGAGUGCUAGGUGUUAGACCCUUUCCGGGGUUUAGUGCCGCAGCUAACGCAUUAAGCACUCCGCCUGGGGAGUACGACCGCAAGGUUG